This 395-nucleotide ribosomal RNA is filed under the name uncultured bacterium. Its description in RNAcentral is "bacterial SSU rRNA". It matches the Rfam family "Bacterial small subunit ribosomal RNA", at positions 29 to 417 of the family's 1533-position model. The record is from RNAcentral.
AUUGAACGCUGGCGGCAUGCCUAACACAUGCAAGUCGAACGGCAGCACAGUGCGUAGCAAUACGUAUGGGUGGCGAGUGGCGGACGGGUGAGGAAUGCAUCGGAAUCUACCCAGUAGCGGGGGAUAACCUGGGGAAACUCAGGCUAAUACCGCAUACGACCUAUGGGUGAAAGCGGGGGACCGUAAGGCCUCGCACUAUUGGAUGAGCCGAUGCCGGAUUAGCUAGUUGGUAGGGUAACGGCCUACCAAGGCGACGAUCCGUAGCUGGUCUGAGAGGACGAUCAGCCACACCGGAACUGAGACACGGUCCGGACUCCUACGGGAGGCAGCAGUGGGGAAUAUUGGACAAGUGGGGAAACCCUGAUCCAGCAAUGCCGCGUGUGUGAAGAAGGCCU